CACAACAGGCUGAGCAGCUUUCUGCAUUCUCGCCACUAAUUAUCCAGACUCCGGAGACUGAGCUUUCAAGGUACUUGCGGAAUCUCUAUAGGCCCAAGGUUGACAUGACCAUAUCCGUGAAAAGCUCAGGACAAAGAAAGGAAAAACUGGUGAAUGUGACAGAGGCACCCAGCAAUGUUCUGAGGGACAGAUUUCAC
RNAcentral lists this long non-coding RNA (197 nucleotides) under Gorilla gorilla gorilla (western lowland gorilla). Its description in RNAcentral is "lncRNA (ENSGGOG00000044617.1)". Lineage: Eukaryota; Metazoa; Chordata; Mammalia; Primates; Hominidae. The record is from RNAcentral.